Molecule: ribosomal RNA, 497 nt
Filed under: uncultured bacterium
Lineage: Bacteria
Description: partial 16S ribosomal RNA
Rfam family: Bacterial small subunit ribosomal RNA
Source: RNAcentral
GAUGAACGCUGGCGGCGUGCCUAAUACAUGCAAGUUGAGCGAACGGACGUGAAACUUGUAUCUCUGAUAUUAGCGGCGAACGGGUGAGUAACACGUGGAUAACCUGCCUAUAAGCCUGGGAUAACUUCUGGAAACCGGUGCUAAUACCGCAUAAUAUUUUUAACCGCAAGGUUUAAAAGUGAAAGACGGUAUUGCUGUCCCUUAUGGAUGUAUCGCCGCUGAAUUAGCUAGUGGUUAAGUAAACGCCUUACCAAGGCAUCGUACAUAACCGACCUUAGAAGGUUGAUCGGCCACACGGGAACUGAGAAACGGUCCAGACUCCUCCGGGAGGCAGAAGUAGGGAACCUUCCGAAUUGGGCGAAAGCCGGACGGAGCACGGCGGCGGGGUGGAUGAAGUUCUUCGAACCUAAAAACUUUGUUAUUAGGAAAGAAGAUAUGGGUAAGUAACUGCGCACAAAGUGACGGUACCUAAUCAGAAAGCGACGGCUAACUACGUG